This 1433-nucleotide ribosomal RNA is filed under the name uncultured organism. Its description in RNAcentral is "16S ribosomal RNA". It matches the Rfam family "Bacterial small subunit ribosomal RNA". The record is from RNAcentral.
AACGCUGGCGGCGUGCUCAACACAUGCAAGUCGAACGGAAAGGCCCUGCUUUUGUGGGGUGCUCGAGUGGCGAACGGGUGAGUAACACGUGAGUAACCUGCCCUUGACUUUGGGAUAACUUCAGGAAACUGGGGCUAAUACCGGAUAGGAGCUCCUGCUGCAUGGUGGGGGUUGGAAAGUUUCGGCGGUUGGGGAUGGACUCGCGGCUUAUCAGCUUGUUGGUGGGGUAGUGGCUUACCAAGGCUUUGACGGGUAGCCGGCCUGAGAGGGUGACCGGCCACAUUGGGACUGAGAUACGGCCCAGACUCCUACGGGAGGCAGCAGUGGGGAAUAUUGCACAAUGGGCGGAAGCCUGAUGCAGCAACGCCGCGUGCGGGAUGACGGCCUUCGGGUUGUAAACCGCUUUCGCCUGUGACGAAGCGUGAGUGACGGUAAUGGGUAAAGAAGCACCGGCUAACUACGUGCCAGCAGCCGCGGUGAUACGUAGGGUGCGAGCGUUGUCCGGAUUUAUUGGGCGUAAAGGGCUCGUAGGUGGUUGAUCGCGUCGGAAGUGUAAUCUUGGGGCUUAACCCUGAGCGUGCUUUCGAUACGGGUUGACUUGAGGAAGGUAGGGGAGAAUGGAAUUCCUGGUGGAGCGGUGGAAUGCGCAGAUAUCAGGAGGAACACCAGUGGCGAAGGCGGUUCUCUGGGCCUUUCCUGACGCUGAGGAGCGAAAGCGUGGGGAGCGAACAGGCUUAGAUACCCUGGUAGUCCACGCUGUAAACGGUGGGUACUAGGUGUGGGGUCCAUUCCACGGGUUCCGUGCCGUAGCUAACGCUUUAAGUACCCCGCCUGGGGAGUACGGCCGCAAGGCUGAAACUCAAAGGAAUUGACGGGGCCCCGCACAAGCGGCGGAGCAUGCGGAUUAACUCGAUGCAACGCGUAGAACCUUACCUGGGUUUGACAUGGAUCGGGAGUGCUCAGAGAUGGGUGUGCCUCUUUUGGGGUCGGUUCACAGGUGGUGCAUGGCUGUCGUCAGCUCGUGUCGUGAGAUGUUGGGUUAAGUCCCGCAACGAGCGCAACCCUUGUUCACUGUUGCCAGCACGUUAUGGUGGGGACUCAGUGGAGACCGCCGGGGUCAACUCGGAGGAAGGUGGGGAUGACGUCAAGUCAUCAUGCCCCUUAUGUCCAGGGCUUCACGCAUGCUACAAUGGCUGGUACAGAGAGUGGCGAGCCUGUGAGGGUGAGCGAAUCUCGGAAAGCCGGUCUCAGUUCGGAUUGGGGUCUGCAACUCGACCUCAUGAAGUCGGAGUCGCUAGUAAUCGCAGAUCAGCAACGCUGCGGUGAAUACGUUCCCGGGGCUUGUACACACCGCCCGUCAAGUCAUGAAAGUUGGUAACACCCGAAGCCGGUGGCCUAACCGUUGUGGGGGAGCCGUCGAAGGUGGGACUGGU